Pantherophis guttatus is the source of this 345-nucleotide non-coding RNA. The record is from RefSeq and is a predicted model, not a curated record. NCBI's taxonomy places the organism in Eukaryota, Metazoa, Chordata, Lepidosauria, Squamata, Colubridae.
GCUCCUCCAAUAUAAAUGGAAAGCGCUGAGCUUGAUUAAGCCACCCUGUAUUGUCAUCCCAAAAUCUGAGCCAGAAGUGAAAUCCAAGAAUGAAGAGAAAUGCCCACCAGUGUAUUGAAUAUAAAGGCUGGGCUUCACAUCGGUGAGGAGACAGAAAAGGUCCUUGGGAAAAACUUGAUAGGUGGAUCAAAAGGCCAAAUCUGGUCUAAGCAUCUAGCUGACUGUGUGAUGAACUGUAAUGUGCUGCCCGACUUCCAACAAUUCAGGGUGCAAAGAAAAAAUAUCUGCUGCGAACUCUGUGCGUAGCAUCAGGAAGGACAUCUGGCCAGUAAAUGCUUAGCUCCA